GCCUGUAGCUUAGUAUGGUAGAGCGUCCGGCUCAUAACCGGAUGGUCGUCGGUUCAAAUCCGGCCAGGCC
This 70-nucleotide transfer RNA is filed under the name human gut metagenome. It matches the Rfam family "tRNA". Rfam says of the family: Transfer RNA (tRNA) molecules are approximately 80 nucleotides in length. Their secondary structure includes four short double-helical elements and three loops (D, anti-codon, and T loops). The record is from RNAcentral.